UGGGAAGGAGGAAGUCGUAACAAGGUUUCCGUAGGUGAACCUGCGGAAGGAUCAUUGUCGAUGCCUGCAAAGUAGACCCGGCGAACUUGUUAAAAUAUGCCUGGGGGUUUGAGAAGGGGUGCGCGAGCCCCCCCGACACACUCCCCCAGCCCCCUCGGGAUUUGGCUUGCGUUCCCCUAGCGGGGAYUCGGUCAAGCUCCCGACAACGAACCCCGGCGCUAUCUGCGCCAAGGAACCAUAACUGAAGGGCUGGCCUCCCGAUGUCCCGUUCGCGGUGUGCACGGGAGGCAUCUGCAUCUUUUGAAUCUAAAACGACUCUCGGCAACGGAUAUCUCGGCUCUCGCAUCGAUGAAGAACGUAGCGAAAUGCGAUACUUGGUGUGAAUUGCAGAAUCCCGUGAACCAUCGAGUUUUUGAACGCAAGUUGCGCCCGAAGCCAUUAGGCUAAGGGCACGUCUGCCUGGGCGUCACGCAUCACGUCGCCACCAACCCCGAUGCCCAGCUGGAUAUUACGGGAGUUGGGGGCGGAAAUUGGCCUCCCGUCCACGAACGUGCGCGGUUGGCCCAAAAAAUGAGUUCUUGACGAUGGACGUCACGGCAAGUGGUGGUUGAAAGACCUCUUGCGUCAUGUCGUGAGGCACCAAGUCUGUAGCGAGCUCUGACCGCGACCCUGUGCACCCUUCCUUCACGGAUGGUGCUCCGACCGCGACCCCAGGUCAGACGGGAUUACCCGCUGAGUUUAAGCAUAUCAAUAAAGCCGGAGGAAA
This 766-nucleotide ribosomal RNA is filed under the name Ilex latifrons. RNAcentral describes it as "eukaryotic LSU rRNA". The stretch from base 314 to 469 matches the Rfam family "5.8S ribosomal RNA". The record is from RNAcentral. Lineage: Eukaryota; Viridiplantae; Streptophyta; Magnoliopsida; Aquifoliales; Aquifoliaceae.